GGGGAUAUAGCUCAGCUAGUAGAGUACUUGUCUCAUGCACAAGGCCCUGGGUUCAAUCCCCAGCAGCACAA
Molecule: transfer RNA, 71 nt
Filed under: Marmota monax (woodchuck)
Lineage: Eukaryota; Metazoa; Chordata; Mammalia; Rodentia; Sciuridae
Description: tRNA.Met
Rfam family: tRNA (bases 8-63)
About the family: Transfer RNA (tRNA) molecules are approximately 80 nucleotides in length.
Source: RNAcentral